RNAcentral lists this ribosomal RNA (433 nucleotides) under uncultured bacterium. RNAcentral describes it as "partial 16S ribosomal RNA". It matches the Rfam family "Bacterial small subunit ribosomal RNA", at positions 29 to 507 of the family's 1533-position model. The record is from RNAcentral.
AACGAACGCUGGCGGCAGGCCUAACACAUGCAAGUCGAGCGAGACCUUCGGGUCUAGCGGCGGACGGGUGAGUAACGCGUGGGAACGUGCCCUUUUCUACGGAAUAGCCUCGGGAAACUGAGCGUAAUACCGUAUACGCCCUUUGGGGGAAAGAUUUAUCGGAGAAGGAUCGGCCCGCGUUGGAUUAGGUAGUUGGUGGGGUAAUGGCCUACCAAGCCUACGAUCCAUAGCUGGUUUGAGAGGAUGAUCAGCCACACUGGGACUGAGACACGGCCCAGACUCCUACGGGAGGCAGCAGUGGGGAAUCUUAGACAAUGGGGGCAACCCUGAUCUAGCCAUGCCGCGUGAGUGAUGAAGGCCUUAGGGUUGUAAAGCUCAUUCAGCUGGGAAGAUAAUGACGGUACCAGCAGAAGAAGCCCCGGCUAACUCCGUG